Molecule: ribosomal RNA, 465 nt
Filed under: uncultured bacterium
Lineage: Bacteria
Description: partial 16S ribosomal RNA
Rfam family: Bacterial small subunit ribosomal RNA
Source: RNAcentral
GAUGAACGCUGGCGGCGUGCUUAACACAUGCAAGUCGAACGGAAAGGCUCCUGCUUGCAGGGGUACUCGAGUGGCGAACGGGUGAGUAACACGUGGGUGAUCUGCCCUGCACUUCGGGAUAAGCCUGGGAAACUGGGUCUAAUACCGGAUAGGACGAUGGUUUGGAUGCCAUUGUGGAAAGUUUUUCGGUGUGGGAUGAGCUCGCGGCCUAUCAGCUUGUUGGUGGGGUAAUGGCCUACCAAGGCGUCGACGGGUAGCCGGCCUGAGAGGGUGUACGGCCACAUUGGGACUGAGAUACGGCCCAGACUCCUACGGGAGGCAGCAGUGGGGAAUAUUGCACAAUGGGCGCAAGCCUGAUGCAGCGACGCCACGUGGGGGAUGACGGCCUUCGGGUUGUAAACUCCUUUCGCUAGGGACGAAGCGCAAGUGACGGUACCUGGAGAAGAAGCACCGGCUAACUACGUG